UCUUUUGACAGAACAGCAUUCAGAAAUAAUGUCUUAUGCUUGAUAAGUUUAUUGAGUAUUUAAUUUUAUUCGCAUUAUUAGCAUUCAAAAACGAUAUUAUUCAACAACAACAAAAAAAACUUUUAAAACUAUGGUACUAUAUUUGAAAACACGGACGGUUACUGUUUUAUUUUGAUCGAUUUUAGUUAGUUAAAUGUGCUGUUUAAUUGGUUUGACGUGUCAGCUAAUAACACUGCUCGCUACAAUAUUGCUGGCGGCCCUUAUUGCUGUAGGGAUUGUAACAGUCGUCAAGUCAAUGAUGUGAAGUGAGCACUUAAGUCCAUAUGGCAAAUAAUAACCAGUUUGGAUUUUUUUGAGGAUGGCAACUAGACAACCAAUUAGCGAGACGUUAAGCAAGGCAACUAUUAUAAAGACUAUUUAGGCACCACGGGAGUUGAGUACGCUAGUGAACUAGCACAUGGAAAAUUGAAUAAAAUGAAAUAAGAAAUAAGAGAUAAUACAAGUCCACGCCGUAAAUGUUGGGUAACAUGAAUUUAAUAAUAAAAGAUUUCAAUAAAAUUAUAUGAAUGAAAAAAAAUCCUUCCUGUUUUAAAAGUGUCCAAGAAACCACGUCCAGCGAUUUUGUUUGCUGUUAACACAAUUGUAAACCUUCCCAAUUAAAAAAAAUAAGCCACCACUAAA
Long non-coding RNA from Bombyx mori (domestic silkworm), 681 nucleotides. RefSeq lists it as uncharacterized. NCBI's taxonomy places the organism in Eukaryota, Metazoa, Arthropoda, Insecta, Lepidoptera, Bombycidae. The record is from RefSeq and is a predicted model, not a curated record. The transcript is spliced from 3 exons.